UAUUGAUCAGAAAUUAAAAGCAGUUAUAUUAAUAACAUGUCGUAUUAAUGACCAAGAAAACUUUGGAGAAGAAGUACACUUAAACACUAUCCAAGACAAUCAUAUUGUGGAGAGGUUAAAAAGAACAUCCAAACCAAAGCUUAGUAUUUUUAUAUGAAAACUACCAUAUACUUGCCAAUACAAGGCAAGACAUUAAACCAAAGGACAAGAAAUAAACAUGACAUAGAGAUGUCAAAGUGAAACUAUAGUUACACUUUCAUCUGAAGAGAAAAACAUAGCAGUUCUCCUUAUUACUCAUAUCAAUAUAUAUAUUGGCAAAGAAUUGAAAUUGAGUUGAUAUUUUGCCCUCUGAUCUGGAGAAAAGAGUCCAAAGUGUUUCUCUGUGAUUUCUCCUAUCUUAUCAUUUUCAUCAAACAUGGCAAACAAAUAGGUUUCUAUAGUCUUUCCAGGUUUCUUUGGAGUUCCUGCCCCGCUUUUCACAUGAUUAAUCAAAUUUCUGUAGUAAGUUUGAGCAUUUUCAAUAGUUGCUACAGAGCUUCCUUCAGAAGGCCACCCACUUUCCGAUACAAUAAUCUCCACAUUUGGUCCUCCGGCUUUCUCUACAGCAAAAUACAUAGAAUCCAAAAGGGCAUCAAAAAGAUUUUGAUAUCCUAGAGAAUUUUCUUCUUGUUGUGUGAACAAUGCAUAAGAAAGUGCGACAUUAACAGUGUUGGAAAUGUGAACAAAAUAAGGAUAGACAUUGGCUAAGAGUGGAAGGUUAUUUCGUGCUAGAAAUUCGAUUAUAGGAUUAAUGAAACUCUUGAAUUCUUCGCGAAAAAUACUACUUUCCGGUGGGUAGGUAUUCGUUAAGAGCCCUGAAUAUGUCACAGUUGAGACCUUGAUCAUAUCUUGCAACCCUGCCGCUGCUAAUGCAUUGUACACAUUUUUCAUUGCAUGAAGAAGAAAUUGUGCAUAUUGACCAUUAUUUGUGGGAGAUACUUCAUUUCCUAUAGAUAUGUACUUGAAUGUAACAUAAGGGAAAUGACUUCUAAUAUUAUCUUGAACCCAACCAUUGGCUAUUGACGAAUUCGCUAGGGCUUCAAUAUCUUGAUUUGGGACACCAAGAAUGAUCUCAAUGUUACUUCCAUUGAGAGCUUUGAAAAUGUUUUUAUCAGGAUAGUAGAUUCUCAUCUUUCUGAUGCCAUUAGCAUUGUAUAGGUUUAUAACAUCUUGGUCUGAUGGUAAAUUGUUGGCAUCUUUUCCAUAACAUACUCCAAUAGAUUGUGCCCCUGCAUGAUAAGAAAAAAUGUACGUCAGAAUAAACAACAACAAUAACAACGUUGCGACAGUUCCCAAAUAAGUUAGGUGUCGGACUAAAUGAAUAUUCUCAAUAAAUAUGAUUCUCUAUAUAAAUUCUUCUCAAACCAACAUUAUAGUGUCAGGUCAUCUAGAAGUAAAUAUAAGUAACUGUUCAUAAUAAGUGACUUAAACAAAUAAGGUAUGGUACCUGAUACAACAUAAAUAUAAUAUAACAAACUCAAUAUAAUUUUACAAGUGGGGUCUGGGAAGGUAGAGUGUAUGCAUAUUUUACCCCUAACUUUUGAGAAUAGAAAAAUUAUUUUCGAUAAACCUUUGGCUCAAAGAAAAGAUAGAAACGAAGCAAUAGCAAUAACAACAAACAGUGAAUAACUGCAAGUUAAUAGAUCAACCAAAUUGACAAAAACAAGAACAGAAUCUCUGGCUAGUAAAGAAAAACUGAGCAUAAGAAAAUACAAGAGCAAAUCAGUACUAUCAUAAAAGUUAUUUACGCUAUUAGCGUAUAUAAGUUGAUCCGCAUCGUACAAGGUGCAUAUACAUGUGUGAAGAGAGAGACCUAUUAUUCGGAUACUGCAAAUUAACAGCCCAACAAGUACAAGGGCAGCUGCAAGAAAGCCAUUUUUAAUGCAUAAAGCCAUAGCUAAAAUGGAAAUGAGCUGAAAUUGUGUGUUUAAGGAACCAUUAAGCUGCUUUUAUAUAGACAAGCAGAAGAAGACUGACAAAGACUUAAAGAGUCAAAGUCAAUUGCCCAGUGAAGCACGUUAUGGAAUAAAGUGUAAUUUUUGUCACAAGUUAAGAAAAAAAAAUAUAGAAAGUUCAAACCUAAUGUCACAAGUAGGGGUGUAUAAAGAAAACUGAUAAACCGCACCAACCCAAUAAUCCGAGUCAAACCGAGAAAAAAACCCGAGAAAAACCGAUAUUGGAAAACCUGAAUUUAUUGGUUUGGUUUGGUCAUUAGAUUUAAUAACCCGACACAAUUGGUUUGGUUUGGUAAUUGUAAAAUCCGAACCAACCCGAUCUAUGUACACCCCUAUUAGCUGGUAUGAUUCAGAGAAAGGAAACAGAAUCUGGUCUUUGGCAUAUGAGGUUGGGAUAUACAGCUAUGAAUAUAUGCCCCUUGGAAAAACAAUGUAGAUUACAAUUCCCCAUAAGUACUACUAGUUCAACAUCUAUCUUCCUAUUAAUCCAUAUAAAUGUUUGGGGGCCCUAUAAGGUGCCUACAUAUGAUAGGAAGCAGUAUUUUGUCACUAUUGUGGAUUAUCUUAGUAUGUACACUUGGCUUUGUCUAAAAAACUCUAAAUGUGAAGUGAUAGUUAGGUUGAAAAAUUUAUUUCCAUAAUAAAGAAUCAGUUUGCUGCUACUGUGAAACUAUGUACACCCCUAGUCACAAGUGAUGGAGAGACAAAGAAUUUUAUGAGAAACAAUGGUCGAAUAUUCGGAGAAGACACAACUUUGCCCUCAGUAGACUUUAAUUCCGAAUAGUUUAACAGAAAAUUUAAACACUUUAAUUAAAAUAUAUAUGCAGUGAUUAUCUCCGUUAUCACAACUAGACAUACAGCUAAGGACGUAAUUGGGUUGGGCUCGGGUUUAAAAGGGCCUCAAGGGCUGGUCCUAAGUGGGACCGGGAUGGUGGGCUUUUGGUAGAAUCAGACCAGGACCAUGAACUAAUGGUCCCGGGCUAAGUGGACCGGCCAGAGCUUAUGUGGGCCUAAGUGGGCCCAACAGUUCAUUUCAAAUUUCUUUUUCUAAAAAAAAGAAAUUGUCAUAUAGGGCAAUUCCUUGUAAAAACUCUAUUAUAGAAAUGCGAAUUUAAUUUAAACACAAAAAAAUUAAAAAAAGAUAUUUAAAGCAAUGUAUUAUAAUUUUAUUAUAGCAAUAACAAAACAUGUGAAUAUGAUCUUUCUUACUCUUCCUUCCCCUUUGAAAACAGCCCAACAAGGACAAGGGCGCGCAGCUGCAAGAAAGCCAUUUGUAAUGCAUUAAGCCAUACCUAAAAUGUAAAUGAGAGAGUUCUUAUAUAGACUAAGCAGAAGAUGACCGACAAAGACAUAAACCCAAAGUCAAUUGCCCAGUGAAGCACGUAAGAGAAUAAAAACAGUGUAAAUUUUGUCACAAGUGAAGAAGAAAAAAAUGUAGCAAGUUCAAAUCUAAUGUUGUAAUGGAGACAUAGAAUUUUAUGAGAAAAAUGGUCGAAUAUUCGGAGAAAGGGCAACUUUGCCCUACGUAGACUUUAAUUCCGAAUAGUUUAACGGCAAAUUUAAACAUUUUAUUUUCAAUAUAUGUGAUGAUUAUCUACGUUAUCAUAAUUAGGUAUACAACAACUCAUUUACGUGUAUUUGAUACUCCCAUUAUGGGAGUCCCAUGUUCUGAAAUAUUUCUAGUUUUUUCCAAAUUGAAUUUGAUUAAAAAUCUUUGAGGUGUUAGAAAAUAGGAAAUCAUCUGAUUAUCCUAUCUUUUUAAUUAGUAUAAUUAAUAUUGAUUAAGUGAUAUGUUUAAGGAGAGAACAGGGAAUUUAGACAAUACCCUUAUAAUUAUGUCUAAAAUGACUUUCCUAAGAGCAUGCAAACAUCUUAAAAGAUAUGUAAUAUUGACAAGAGGCAGUAAAGUUAAAGGAAACACUUAAAUUUGUUUUGUAAAAACAAAACGGACAAAGAAAUCCACAAACACAAUGGAGGCUUAACAAAGUAGGUGGCCUAAAGCAUAUUUUGGUGAAGAGGCCUUACAUUUUUGUGUAAACGUCCAUAUAUUUUUUAGUUGAAGUUAAUUUUUAUAGUUUCUUGAGAUGCAAAGUUGUUAAAUAAUUCCUACUAGAAAACGUAGCCACAUACAUUUAGUUAAUAGUAAUAUAGAUAAUUUUGUUCCAUUAGUGAUAAACCAUCAGUAUUGGAAUUAUUAUUAUAAGAUGCACGAAUAUAUAGAUGUAAAUAUUUAUACUCUCUUUUCUUAUUUUAAUAAAGUCACAAUUUUUCUGUCACGAUCCCAACCCCGAUUAUGAUGGCGUCCAACACACUGCUAGGCAAGCCCGACCAUUCACAACAUUAUCUCUUUUUUUAUACAGAUUAUAAUUAAAUAACACAAGAAACUUACUAAAGCAUUUUACUAGAAGUCCAGAAAUAUCGAUAAAAUAUGCGGAAGUUCAAUUAGAAUACUGCAACAUAGCCCAAUAGAAUCUGGUUUCAAGAGUUUGUGCCUCUAAUACAGAAUAUCCACCUACUACAAGUCUGUCUAGGAAGUACGAAAUAAAAGAUAGAGAUAGAGGGGAGAGAUCAAGGCUGCGAACGCCAUGCAGCUACCUCGAUACUCCCGAAUACGACUCUGCUCAGCUACACAAUCCUCACUUAGCAUGUGGUGUACCUGGAUCUGCACGCAAGGUACAGGGAGCUAGUAAUGUGAGUAUUCCGACCCAAUGAGUAAUAAACAUAAAUAAAGGCUGAGAAUAUUAAGUCAUGAAAUAACGCAAAGUAAUCUAUAAUUGGUAAUAUAGAAACAUUAAUAAGGAAGCAGUAAACCACUAAGAUAGAAAUAAAGAAAUACUUCAACGAAUGAACACAUAAAGAGCAAAUGAAUAAGGGAAAUGGAAUACAUAAAAUGGUACACUCUAGUAUUCGCUACGGGGUGCAACCCGAUUCAUUUAUUUAUCUUGACGGUAUUCAUUAGGGGUGUGUACAGACUCCGGGAGGGGCUCCUACAGUCUAAGCGCAAUAUCAAGUUAUCUCGUGGCAUCAAUCAGGCUCUCGGCCUCUAUAUCAAUAUAAUAAUGACGCGUCGCGCAGCCCGAUCCAUGCUCAAUCAAGAAAUUCACAUAAGGCCUCGAAAAAUAUUAAAAUAAUAGUUCUCAUAUCAAAACGUCAAUAAAAUAUUGUUUAAGCUUUCAAAUCUCAAAAAGAUGUCUGAAUUUGCAAGACAGUAUUUAAAACUUUGGACUGAGAUCAGAUAAUAUGUCAAGUAAUGUGGAAACAGUCAUAACAAUCCCUGAAGGAUUCAAAUAAUUGGCACAAAGCCCAAAUAUAACAAUUAAAUCCAAAUAAGGAUGAUAUCAAAUGAGUUCUAAUAGAAUACACGGUAAAAACAUCACUCGAGACGGACCAAGUCACGAUCCCCAAUAGUAAACGCUCAUGCACUCGUCAUAGAGCGAUCGCAUAGCUAUACUCGUGUUCGCAUUGAAGAAAAUACAUCCAGGACCCCAUGUCCAUUUAACAGUACGUGAUCGCAAUCCACCCAACGUGAUUGCAAUGAGCAACAGAACAGCUUCCCCAAAACCUUCUACGCGUUCGCAAUGAACCUCAUGCGAUAACAGAGAGUAAAUGUCUGCAACACUUCAGCUGAAAAAUCUGCAACUUCCAAAGGUUAGAAUUGGUGUGUUGACCAUCCGAAAUCAUCCUGAGUCCCCCGGGACCUCAACCAAAGGUGCCAAACCAUCCUAAAACAUCAUCCAAACUCGUUCCAAUCAUCAAAACAAAUUAAACAAUACUAAAAUCCUCAAUUCUCAACGAAUCCAAGCCUAAGUUGUUCAAAAUCAUCCGAAACUCGCAUUCGAUCAAAAACUCAGUCAAAUCACCUCCGAAUAACCUGAAAGUUUGCACAUACAUCCUAAAUCACCUGAUGAAACUACUUCAACUCUCGAAAUUCCAUUCUGGAAUUCGCCAAAAUACUAACUUCACCAAUUUAAUCUUAAUUCUAUACCAGACCUCCAAAAUAACUUCUGAUCACAUUCCUAAGACCCAAAUUAUCCCCCGAAGCUAACCGAAUCACCGAAAAUUACAUUCGAGCCCUCUACCUCAUAAGUAAAUAUUUGGUUGACUUUUCCAAAACAGGCCUUUCUUAAAGAGACUAAGUAUCUCAUUUACUACCAAACCAAUCCAAAUCAACUCUAACACACCCAAUACCGACAAUGAAACAUAAAGAAGCAGAAAAUAGGGAAAACGAAGCGGUAAAUCAUGAAGCGAUGGGUUGGGUCGUCACACUUUCCUUUUUUUGCUUUUCAUGUACGAUAACAUACUUUCUCUUUCAUUUCUUUCUAACUUUCUUUCUCCAAGAGUUUAAAAGUUCAAUGGUUAAAAACAAUUUGGGGUAAAAAUUUGAGAUUAUUAGAUAACGAGAAUUUUUAAAAAAUAUCGGCGUAAACUUAAAUGUUCCUUAUAAUAUAAUAAUAAUUCUGAUUUUGGUGGUUUAGACUUAUUCUAAACUAAAAGUGUUAAAUAAAAUAGUAGAAGUAAAAAUAUAAAAGACUUAAUUCUUUUUUAAAUGCUUAUAUUUCAUAUAAAACAAUAUUAAAUAGUUGCUCCGUGUAAAGAAGCCUUUUAAAACUAAAAUUGGUAGAAUCUUAUCUAAGAUCAGCAAUUCUCAAAAUAUACUAAAUGAGUUGGCUAUCAUUCUAAAAUGAUAUAUUAAAAGAAAACAAUAAUUUAAAAAAUUAUCAAAAUUUUGCAUCUCAAAAAGUUAGAACAAUUGAUUUGUUUGAAAAACAAUAUUUCUAAUAUUAAAGGCCUCCAUAUAAAUUUUGGCAUUGUGAUGAACCGAAAGGUCAUCUUGUACUUUAGAACUCAACUAUGUGCUUAUAAGCCUUAAAACGCAUUAUUACCCUGCUCGAUUUGCUUAAGAAAUCCAAAUAUAUUUCUGAAAAUAUUUUAUGUUAAAAGUUGAUGAAAAUAAGAAAUUUUGCCUAAAAGAUUCAUUUGAGUUGACUUUGGUCAACAUCUUUGGUAAACGAACCCAAAUUUAUAUUAUGACGAUUCCAUUGGAUUCGUAUCAAAAUCAAAAGUCCCUUGCCCGAGAUAUCGGACUUUGUCAAUAUUUGAAAGGUAAAGAACUAAGGAAAUGGAGAUGUUUGACCAAGGUUUGAUUUUUUUGAUAUCAGGUCCAUAUUUUAAUUUUAGAACUUGAUAUAGGUCCAAUACCCAAUUUAUGACUUGUCUGUGAAAUUUUAUAAGAAACGGAGUUGGUUUGAUAUGAUUCGGACGUCCAGUUGAGAAAUUA
Molecule: long non-coding RNA, 7272 nt
Filed under: Nicotiana benthamiana
Lineage: Eukaryota; Viridiplantae; Streptophyta; Magnoliopsida; Solanales; Solanaceae
Description: long non-coding RNA (NBEN_LNC028339)
Source: RNAcentral